This is an RNA transcript of Salvia splendens (bonfire salvia), 2977 nucleotides long. It is a transcript of the gene named two-component response regulator-like APRR1, with no coding region annotated. The record is from RefSeq and is a predicted model, not a curated record. Lineage: Eukaryota; Viridiplantae; Streptophyta; Magnoliopsida; Lamiales; Lamiaceae. The transcript has 8 exons.
AAUGCGCACGAUCUCCGCCCUCUAUUCUAUUCCAAAUCAAGACGGCUGCCGUCACGCCAAAUCGGGCCGCUUAUUUUAGCACCCAGCACUAGCAGUUAGAGAAAAAAAGCGCCAAUAAAAUAUCCCUAUCUUCCUUUUUUGGUACUUUAUUAUUCUGAGCUUUUCGGCAACAAGCGAAGAAAAUUCACUGUCACUUUACAUAUAAGUAAUUUAUGUGCGAAGGAAAUGAUAUAGAAGUGUAGGUACUGGAUAGAUUGGUGGGGGGCUAAAGUGCGCCGGAUUGGAGACGGUGCUGACGUGGCGGCUUGGGUACCGUUGUAUUGGGGUUGCCUUUUUCAGCUGCUCGCGGAGCUUCCUUGCCAUGAUUGAUUGCCGUUUAUGGAGUGCGAGAAUUGUCAACUAGUUGAUGAAUUGACGCAGCUGCCUAUUUGAUUUUUUGACGUCGGAGGUGUUGGUUUGGUUUGUGACGAUCUGGAGAAAUCGAAGUUUGUGGUGGAUUUUGGUGGUGUACUGUAUUGGAUUGGAGUAAUUUUGACUUUUUUUUUGUCGGCGGUUUAUUGAUUGGGGUUUUUGAGGUGUGAGAUGGAGUUACUCUAGCGCUUAUUGUUUUAGGGGGUCCAUUUCAACCCUAGUUCGUUAUUGAGGCUGAUAAGAGUGAUGGAGAAGAGUGAGAUGGGGAAGACCGGGGAUGGGUUUAUUGAUCGGAGAAAAGUGAGGAUUUUGUUGUGUGAUAAUGAUGUGAAAAGUUCGGAGGAGGUUUUUACACUUUUGUGUAAAUGUUCUUAUCAAGUGACUGCUGUAAAGUCACCAAGACAGGUGAUUGAUGCACUGAAUGCAGAGGGGCCUGAUAUAGAUAUUAUUCUUUCUGAGGUAGACCUUCCAAUGUCUAAAGGACUGAAAAUGUUAAAAUAUAUUAUGAGGGACAAAGAGUUGAGACGAAUUCCUGUGAUAAUGAUGUCAGCUCAAGAUGAGGUUCCCCUUGUUGUCAAGUGCCUGAAAUUUGGAGCAGCUGACUAUCUAGUGAAGCCAUUACGUACAAAUGAGCUGUUGAACUUGUGGACUCAUAUGUGGAGAAGAAGGAGAAUGCUUGGACUUGUGGAGAAGAACAUCAUAAGUUAUGAUUUUGAUCUGGUGGUGUCAGACCACAGUGAUGAUGCUAACACCAAUAGCACUACCUUAUUUUCGGAUGACACAGAUGACAAGUCCCGAAAGAGUACUAACCCAGAGAUGUGUGUCUCAACUCACCAAGAAGAUGAGAUAGAUACCACCACAACUGCUCCUAUAGCUACUGUAGAUGAGGCUCGGCGGGAAUGUCAGCCUGAUGUGCCAGGAAUAAGUGACAGGCGUACAUAUGAAAUGAGGAUAGGACAAAUUUUACCUUUUUUAAGGAAGAAUGAAUUCAAGAUAGGUGAAUCAUCUGCUUUCUUCACCUAUGUCAAAUCCAGCAUUUCCAAAAGCACAAACCAGGGGUCUUCUUCUGUUCCUGAAAAUACAGCUCAGCAUGUGAGCUUUGUGGAGAAUCAAAUACUGAAUGGUGAAGUUGGUUUUAGCAUCGAAGCAGAAAAAACCAUACUGAAUGGUGAAGUGGGUUUGAGCGUCCAAGGAGAAAAAACUCAUGAGACCCUCGAAAACCAGUUGCCGCCAGAUGAACAACCAAGCAGUAGUAGUGCUCCUGAAUCGUUUAUUGUGGACAGGUCCUGCACUCCUCCUAAAUCACUGGAUAUAUCUCAACAGAGGAACUCAAAGGAGUUCUCUCAGGAGCAUAUGCAUUUAGGAAAUGAUUCUCCUAAUGAUGUGACUGGAUCUUACCCAUAUCCUUAUUACAUGUCCGGAGUAGCAAAUCAAGUGCCCAUGUCAUCAGCAUCUAUGUAUCCUAAGAACUUCCACGAUAUAAGCAACCAUGCUAAUUCUGCUUUGAUUCCUCAGUACAAUCAUGUUCCACAAUGUCCUCCUCACAUCCCUGGAAUGGCAUCUUAUCCUUACUACCCGUAUGGUGUAUGCUUACAACCAGGUCAAAUGCCUAGUCCACAUCAAUGGCCAUCAUUUGGAAAUUCUAAGUCCAGUGAAGUGAAGUUAAGUAAAGUCGACCGUAGAGAGGCGGCACUGUUGAAGUUCAGGCAGAAACGGAAGGAAAGAUGCUUCGACAAGAAGAUCAGGUAUGUGAAUAGGAAAAAACUAGCAGAGCGUAGACCUCGUGUAAGGGGCCAGUUUGUGAGGAAGGUAAAUGGUGUUGACGUGGAUCUUAAUGGCCAACCUGAAGAUGAUGAGGAAGAAGGGGAAGAAUAUGAUGAAGAUGAUCAAACUGCUAAUAUGGAACUUUCACACGAGGAUGGUGUGUCCAUGUGCCAAUAAUGAUCCUUACCCAAUGAAGCCUGCAGAAACAGAAAGCAUGCGGGUCUUGUUGCUCACUGUUGAUUAGUACAGAUAACAUGUGGCAGAUCCUCUCCGAUCAUCACCAAAUGGUUUUGCAUUCGUCUUUGAGAUCUGCCACAUGUGAUCAUAAAAGAUAAAUAUCUCUGGACAUGAAAGUAGGAGUACGUAGAGCUAUUCUUGGAGAUUCUCGUUGGGGCUGGGCUGAGGAGACGAUUUGUGGAUUUCUGCAAGUUCUUUAACUGUCUCUCAUUGGAUUCUCGAGAUUGAGGAAAAAGAUGGUUUUAUUCAUCCGUAACUGGUUAGGAGUGCAUGCAAGAAUCAGCACGAAAUCGAGGAUGCUAAUUUUGAUAUAAUUGUACCUCUGCAUACGGAAGUCAUUCACAUACACUUUAGUGUCUCUUCAACUCUAGUUUCAAAAUUUUAGAGCUUCAACUGUUAGUUGUUUCUUGUUUUUUUCCCUUCUUUUAUUGAUGGUUCCCCAUUUAUCCCGUGAUGACUUGAACUUCUAGCCUAUUGGUUAGAAGAAAGCGUCUUACCAACCGAGCUGCCUUUAAUUUAUACUCGUUCCGUUUCCUAAAAAUAUAAAUUCUUUCUUUUUUUGGUA